Molecule: long non-coding RNA, 1220 nt
Organism: Daktulosphaira vitifoliae (grape phylloxera)
Lineage: Eukaryota; Metazoa; Arthropoda; Insecta; Hemiptera; Phylloxeridae
Exons: 4
Source: RefSeq, a predicted model, not a curated record
AGGGAGAACGCAAAAUAAAUUCUUAUAACUCGUCCGUAAGGCCAAGUACAUGGAAAGCAGUGUGGCCAACCACAGCGGUAGUAGACUUCAUUGGGAUUGAGCUCAAUACACGACUAAAUAUAAUAUCUAACAUUAAUAAUCGAAAAUAUAAGACCAUAAUGGAGUAAUUAUUGGAGAAAUCUUGUUAAUUUAAUAGACAAUUUCGAAAAACAAGAAUUUGAAUUGUUAAACAACGUGCCAUUUAAAGUAAAAUAUGAGGAUUUUUCAUAUUUAAAUAUUAAUAGUGAUUUUCAUUUAUUUCCAAAAUUAAGGUAACAGGGAAAGUCAAAAAUUAUUGGAGCAAUAGAAAAAAAAACGCACUCUGCGAAUUAUGUAAAAUGUAACUAAAAUGUGCACAUUUUUUUACAAAUUCAAUACAUUAAGAAGUAAUUCAUUGGGAUUUAGAAUAGUGCCAUAGUGAAACAGCUGCAUACUCGUCCAUAAUGGUCCGUUUGUAAUGUUUCAAACAUUUAUUCAAUUGGGGAAUAAAAUCUAAUCCAAAAAGUGGAAUUAACAAAUAUUAACUAGUGUCAUCUAAAGUCGACAGGUAAAAAUUGAAAUACCUAUACAAAGUUACAUCCAUGCGAAAUCGUAGGACAUACUAGCUUAAAUUUACCUGAAUAUUUAAAAAGUGGGGGAUAUAAAAACCUCUUCCAAUAAUCAGGUCAGAAGCCAUAAAACGAUGGUAUGGUUUACCUACUGACAAUAAUACUCGAGAUUGAAAUAGGUCAUGGACGUCGAAAAUGAUAGCAUUAUAGCAGACUACUAUAGGUUAUGAAAGUAAUAGGUACGCACAUUUUAUGUGCGAUGAUUGCCUCCAUAGCCUCCCCAGGGACACGCCUGAUUCUAAAACGAAAAUUAAUCCGAUUGUCAAACGGUUCCUUUAGAAAAAAGAAAUUUUAUCUGCAAGCAGGAGAGAUAUAUUGAGAAAUAGAUAAGUGAAUUACAAAUAUACUGGUCUUAAAAAUAAACUCAAAAAUAGAUCCAAUACUUUGUUAUUGUUAUAUGUUCAUCAACGAUCAUCAUAUUUCGCGUAUGUUAGCAGAUUUGUAUACAAAAAUGCAAAACAGGAAGGCAUUAAUAUUUUUCGUGAUAAAAUCAAUCAAUAACGCCCAUUUAUCGUCAAACAAUAAAACAUUCUCAAUUUGAAAAUUUCUUAGGAUUUAUCAACGUAUAUUAGA